RNAcentral lists this ribosomal RNA (793 nucleotides) under uncultured Methanosarcinales archaeon. RNAcentral's name for it is "bacterial SSU rRNA". It matches the Rfam family "Archaeal small subunit ribosomal RNA", at positions 85 to 879 of the family's 1478-position model. Lineage: Archaea; Methanobacteriati; Methanobacteriota; Methanomicrobia; Methanosarcinales. The record is from RNAcentral.
ACKGCUCAGUAACACGUGGAUAACCUGACCUAGGGUGGAGGAUAACCCCGGGAAACUGGGGAUAAUACUCCAUAGGCUACGGAAGCUGGAAUGCUCUGUAACCGAAAGCUCCGGCGCCCUAGGAUGGGUCUGCGGCCGAUUAGGUUGUUGUUGGGGUAACGGCCCAACAAGCCGAUCAUCGGUACGGGUUGUGGGAGCAAGAGCCCGGAGAUGGAUUCUGAGACAUGAAUCCAGGCCCUACGGGGUGCAGCAGGCGCGAAAACUUUACAAUGCGGGCAACCGCGAUAAGGGAACCUCGAGUGCCGACAUCAAAUGUCGGCUGUCGUGAUGCCUAAAAAGCAUUAUAUAGCAAGGGCCGGGCAAGACCGGUGCCAGCCGCCGCGGUAACACCGGCGGCUCGAGUGGUGACCGCUAUUAUUGGGUUUAAAGGGUCUGUAGCCGGCCGGAUGAGUCUCUUGAGAAAUCUGGCCGCUCAACGGUCAGGCUUUCAGGAGAUACUGUCUGGCUCGAGGCCGGGAGAGGUGAGAGGUACUUCAGGGGUAGGGGUGAAAUCUUGUAAUCCUUGAAGGACCACCAGUGGCGAAGGCGUCUCACCAGAACGGACCUGACGGCAAGGGACGAAAGCUAGGGGCACGAACCGGAUUAGAUACCCGGGUAGUCCUAGCCGUAAACGAUACUCGCUAGGUGUCGGCCACGGUGCGACCGUGGUCGGUGCCGCAGGGAAACCGUGAAGCGAGCCACCUGGGAAGUACGGCCGCAAGGCUGAAACUUAAAGGAAUUGGCGGGGGAGCAC